This 541-nucleotide ribosomal RNA is filed under the name uncultured Bacillota bacterium. Its description in RNAcentral is "bacterial SSU rRNA". It matches the Rfam family "Bacterial small subunit ribosomal RNA", at positions 352 to 907 of the family's 1533-position model. The record is from RNAcentral. Lineage: Bacteria; Bacillati; Bacillota.
CAGUGGGGAAUUUUCCGCAAUGGGCGCAAGCCUGACGGAGCAACGCCGCGUGGGUGACGAAGGAUUUCGGUCUGUAAAGCCCUUUCAGUCGGGACGAGUCGCAGACGGUACCGACAGAAGAAGCAUCGGCUAACUACGUGCCAGCAGCCGCGGUAAGACGUAGGAUGCGAGCGUUGUCCGGAAUUAUUGGGCGUAAAGCGUACGUAGGCGGUCAUCUAAGUCUGGGGUUAAAGACCAAGGCUCAACCUUGGGAGUGCCCUGGAUACUGGGUGACUGGAGGACGGCAGAGGAAAGUGGAAUUCCCAGUGUAGCGGUGAAAUGCGUAGAUAUUGGGAGGAACACCAGUGGCGAAAGCGACUUUCUGGGCCGUUCCUGACGCUGAGGUACGAAAGCCAGGGGAGCAAACGGGAUUAGAUACCCCGGUAGUCCUGGCCGUAAACGAUGGAUACUAGGUGUCAUCGGUAUCAACCCCGGUGGUGCCGUAGCUAACGCGUUAAGUAUCCCGCCUGGGGAGUACGGUCGCAAGGCUGAAACUCAAUGA